CCUACGGGUGGCUGCAGUGAGGAAUAUUGGUCAAUGGACGAGAGCCUGAACCAGCCAAGUAGCGUGAAGGAUGACUGCCCUCUGGGUUGUAAACUCUUUUUAUAUGGGAGUAAAAUGUUCCACGUGUGGGAUUUUGUAUGUACCAUAUCAAUAAGGAACGGCUAACUCCGUGCCAGCAGCCGCGGUACUACGGUGGAUCCGAGCGUUAUCCGGAUUUAUUGGGUUUAAAGGGAGCGUAGGUGGAUUGUUAAGUCAGUUGUGAAAGUUUGCGGCUCAACCGUAAAAUUGCAGUUGAAACUGGCAGUCUUGAGUACAGUAGAGGUGGGCGGAAUUCGUGGUGUAGCGGUGAAAUGCUUAGAUAUCACGAAGAACACCGAUUGCGAAGGCAGUUCACUGGACUGCAACUGACACUGAGGCUCGAAAGUGUGGGUAUCAAACAGGAUUAGAUACCCCUGUAGUC
RNAcentral lists this ribosomal RNA (460 nucleotides) under uncultured bacterium. Its description in RNAcentral is "partial 16S ribosomal RNA". It matches the Rfam family "Bacterial small subunit ribosomal RNA", at positions 338 to 795 of the family's 1533-position model. The record is from RNAcentral.